Non-coding RNA from Trichobilharzia regenti, 45 nucleotides. The record is from Rfam. NCBI's taxonomy places the organism in Eukaryota, Metazoa, Platyhelminthes, Trematoda, Strigeidida, Schistosomatidae.
AUCCAGCUGACGAGUCCCAAAUAGGACGAAAUGCGCAUCCUGGAC